AGAAGGCUAGCCCACGUUUCCGGGGCCCCCAGCGGCUGGGAAACUCCCAGGGGCCGGGCCCUCCUCACCCAGUCUCCCUUCCUCCUUCUCUGGACUGGCCUGGCUGGACCACACCUGGGGCCGUGGCCACCUGUGCCCCCUUUUCUCAGCCUGUUCUUCUUUGGGCCUCCUGGGACACUCAAGCACCCCAGGACAAGUCAGGGCCAGCAGACUCCGCCUGCAAAGAGGGCCCCCAUCGCAGAAGCCCUUGGAGACGUCAGCCCUUACGGUGCAGAGGGGAGAUGGAGCCACCGUGCAAAGGAUGCUCCAGCCUCACAGCCAGGAGGCUGGAUAAGGCCGAGUGCACCAGGCCCUUGGGCAGCCCAGUGGGCAGAGCCCAGAAGAGGGGGCCACACGGCCUGGCCUAAGGAGCAGGGUAGGCAUCAGGGGAGCAGGGCAGGUCAACGGCUGCUCAGAAGCCUGGCAGGGUUUGCAGGGCGUGGGCUGCCCCAAGCUCAUCUGCACAGAGCGCUGACUUCCGGCCCCAGGACCAGAGCAGGAGACAUGGCCGGGGAAGAAGAGCAAAGGUGGCUCCUGUAAUUCAUUUGGGGGCGUGAGGUGAAGACGGGGCCAGCGCCCCUGGGGCAGCUGAGACCAGGGCGGGGAAGACCAUAAAUCAGGCAGGAGCCAGUGCCCGGUGCCCCAAGGUGAGCACAUGGAGGGACAGUGACUGCUGGUCCUGGGAGCGAGCACAGAGCCCACGGGAAAGCGAGGAGCUCAGUAGGAAAGUGAGGAGCCCACCAGGAAAGCGCGGAGCCCAAGGGAAAGCGCGGAGCCCACUGGGAAAGCGAGGAGCCCACGGGAAAGCGAGGAGCCCAGUGGGAAAGUGCAGAGCCCGCGGGAAAGGAAGGAGCCCACGAGAAAGCGCAGAGCCCACGGGAAAGGGAGGAGCCCACGGGAAAUCAGGGCUGCACUGCACACCAGUUCAGAUGCUUCCAGUGUCCGCUGGGCGCCGGUCCGUCCCAGAAGAAGGUGGGUGCUCAGGGGCACCCUCAGCAAUGUGCUGUGUCCACGCCUAUGUCUGCCUGAGAAUCAGCCUGGGGUUCCUUCAGCGCACGCAUACAGAAUCCUAAAAGGCCGUGGGAAGCAGCCCGAACCUUUCCUUAAAUCGCAGAAGGGAGCAAGGGAAGAAUCCACAUGGCGGACAGGCUGAGAUCUCAAAUCCCAGUAAUCACUAUGACAUGGUUAAGAAAUAAGGUGCAAAUCCCACCAACAAUUCCAAAAGGAAACUUCAUAUGCAAACCAAAAUCACAUCAAUCAGCUGAGUCUUCAUUUUCUUCACAUGCCCACAAAAAUAAGUAUCCCUGGGAGGACAGUGACGGGAGGCAGAGGCAGGCUAAGUCCUCGCACACGGGGAGAUGGUUCCUCACACACGUGGUCAGAGAAAAAUACGGCAAGUACCAGAAAAUUAAAACAGGAUGAAUAUCUCUCUAACAAUUAGCAAAAACUGGAGUGAAAUGUACCUGCCAAGGGUGAGAAAACAGCAAACACACAGAGCAGCACCAAGAAAUCGUCGCCCUGAGAUGACGGGAGCAGACGUAUGACUGGCAAUGGCAAGAGCAAAACACAUGAGCGGAUUUUCCCCUCGCAGCCUCAGAUCUGCUUUCUGUCCUUGUGGGUUUGCCUCCUCUGGGUACGUUCUGAGUUAAUUUUUGUAUAAGUUAUGAGACUUAGGUCAAAGUUCCUUUUUUUUUUUUUUUUUGGCCUGUAGAUGUCUGAUUCUUCCAGCACCAUUUGUUGAAAAGCUACUCUUCUUCCACUGAAUUGUUUUUAUACCUUUGUCAAAAAUCAGGUGGGCCUAUUUGUGUGGGUCAGUUUCUGGGUUUUCUGUUCUGUUCUGUUUUGUUCCGUUGGUUCAAGAGUCUACCCUGAUGCACACACG
RNAcentral lists this long non-coding RNA (1921 nucleotides) under Homo sapiens (human). Its description in RNAcentral is "HSALNT0235407". The record is from RNAcentral. Lineage: Eukaryota; Metazoa; Chordata; Mammalia; Primates; Hominidae.